UGGGGGAAUAUUGCACAAUGGGCGCAAGCCUGAUGCAGCCAUGCCGCGUGUGUGAAGAAGGCCUUCGGGUUGUAAAGCACUUUCAGCGAGGAGGAAGGUGGUGAACUUAAUACGUUCAUCAAUUGACGUUACUCGCAGAAGAAGCACCGGCUAACUCAGUGCCAGCAGCCGCGGUAAUACGGAGGGUGCAAGCGUUAAUCGGAAUUACUGGGCGUAAAGCGCACGCAGGCGGUUUGUUAAGUCAGAUGUGAAAUCCCCGGGCUCAACCUGGGAACUGCAUUUGAAACUGGCAAGCUAGAGUCUCGUAGAGGGGGGUAGAAUUCCAGGUGUAGCGGUGAAAUGCGUAGAGAUCUGGAGGAAUACCGGUGGCGAAGGCGGCCCCCUGGACGAAGACUGACGCUCAGGUGCGAAAGCGUGGGGGAGCAAACAGGAUUAGAUACCCUGGUAGUCCAGCGCUGUAAACGAUGUCGAUUUUGGAGGUUGUGCCCCUUGAGGCGUGGCUUCCGGAGCUAACGCGUUAAAUCGACCGCC
RNAcentral lists this ribosomal RNA (531 nucleotides) under uncultured bacterium. Its description in RNAcentral is "partial 16S ribosomal RNA". It matches the Rfam family "Bacterial small subunit ribosomal RNA", at positions 354 to 873 of the family's 1533-position model. The record is from RNAcentral.